RNAcentral lists this ribosomal RNA (434 nucleotides) under uncultured Lachnospiraceae bacterium. RNAcentral describes it as "partial 16S ribosomal RNA". It matches the Rfam family "Bacterial small subunit ribosomal RNA", at positions 341 to 792 of the family's 1533-position model. Lineage: Bacteria; Bacillati; Bacillota; Clostridia; Lachnospirales; Lachnospiraceae. The record is from RNAcentral.
ACGGGAGGCAGCAGUGGGGAAUAUUGCACAAUGGGGGAAACCCUGAUGUAGCGACGCCGCGUGAGCGAUGAAGUAUUUCGGUAUGUAAAGCUCUAUCAGCAGGGAAGAUAAUGACGGUACCUGACUAAGAAGCUCCGGCUAAAUACGUGCCAGCAGCCGCGGUAAUACGUAUGGAGCAAGCGUUAUCCGGAUUUACUGGGUGUAAAGGGAGCGCAGGCGGUAUUGUAAGUCUGAUGUGAAAAUCCGGGGCUCAACCCCGGAACUGCAUUGGAAACUGCAGUACUAGAGUGUCGGAGGGGUAAGCGGAAUUCCUGGUGUAGCGGUGAAAUGCGUAGAUAUCAGGAGGAACACCGGUGGCGAAGGCGGCUUACUGGACGAUAACUGACGCUGAGGCUCGAAAGCGUGGGGAGCAAACAGGAUUAGAUACCCUGGUA